ACUUUCAUAGGAUAGAAGCAAUCCACUGGUCUUAGGAACCAAAAAACUGGUGCAACUCCAGAUGAAAGUA
RNAcentral lists this transfer RNA (70 nucleotides) under Acratocnus ye. Its description in RNAcentral is "tRNA-Leu". It matches the Rfam family "tRNA". From Rfam's summary of the family: Transfer RNA (tRNA) molecules are approximately 80 nucleotides in length. Lineage: Eukaryota; Metazoa; Chordata; Mammalia; Pilosa; Megalonychidae. The record is from RNAcentral.